Molecule: non-coding RNA, 922 nt
Organism: Coffea arabica (coffee)
Lineage: Eukaryota; Viridiplantae; Streptophyta; Magnoliopsida; Gentianales; Rubiaceae
Source: RefSeq, a predicted model, not a curated record
GUACUAUUGCGUGCUGCGAAAAUUUGGGCUCAGGUUCGAUGGAAGCCUUGGCUACCUGGGCCGUCUUUCCCUCCAAUUGUCCAUGCUCGGUCCCCGGUUCCCUCGUCUGCACUGUCCUCGACUAAUAAGUAAUAGCUAGCAAAAUCAAACUUUUUUCAGGACGAAAUUAUCUCGUUUUGUCUCCCGCUUAUGAAGCGCUGCUGCAAAAAUGGAUCCUUCUGAGGGAUUAUUGAAGGGCACGAAUGGCGGGGUCGAUCAGCCGCCAAAAGAGAGUGGCAACCAGGUGGUUGGUAGAAAAGCAGCCUGGAACCGCAAGGGUUUGGAAGAAAAGAAAGCAGCCGUUGAUGAAGAGAUUUCGAGGAUGAACAAACUUCCGCCAAACAGCACUUACGCCAUUCAUCGCUUGCGUGUCUUGAAUAAAAUCCUUCACCUGUUAUCUAUGCAGAGAACCACAUCGCAGGAGGAGGAAUUGGAAAUGCUGUUUGCUGGUCUCUCUCUUUGAAGAAGCUUUCUAAAGUUUUUCAAUGUUGACGCACUGAACACGGAAAUUGCAAGAUGCCAAGGGGCAGCUGAACCUUGUAUGACAUAUGUGAAAAAAUGGAGUCACAGUUUGAGUUGCUGAAAUGAACAUUUGGUUCUGAAGGACGAUACCAGAUGCAUGUAGAUAUCUUGUUCUUUCUCAUUGCCAGGCUUGUGAAGUCACUGUAUUUACACUGGUUAUAUCUCUGUAACUAGAUACGGUGUCAUAUUUGAGUUGCUGAACUGAACGUUAUCGUUUUAGAAGAGUUUAUUGGAUGCAGCUACGUAUGUUGUUCGGUUCUCAUUUUGGAAAGCUUAUGGAUUCACCGGACAUAGACUGGCUAUUGCCAACGUAUGGAUUCUGGGAAUGGGAACUUAAAACUAGAAUGAAGUUCUGAGUUGA